AUCGCCUCUUGCCUAAAUAUAAGAGGUCCAGCCUGCCCAGUGACUCUGUUCAACGGCCGCGGUAUCCUAACCGUGCGAAGGUAGCGUAAUCACUUGUUCUUUAAAUGAGGACUGGUAUGAAUGGCACCACGAAGGUUAUACUGUCUCCUCUUUUUAAUCAGUGAAACUAAUCUCCCCGUGAAGAAGCGGGGAUAAACAUAUAAGACGAGAAGACCCUAUGGAGCUUUAAACUAUGUAACACUUGUACUAACCCUAAUACAAAUUCCAGAAAAAUCCUCUACAUCUAUACAAGAUUGUUGCCAGUUUUAGGUUGGGGUGACCACGGAGCAAAAAACAACCUCCACAUUGAAAGGAGUUUAUUCCUUAACCAAGAGCCACACCUCCACGUAUCAUUACAAUGACAUUAAUUGACCCAAUAUAUUGAUCAACGAACCAAGUUACCCUAGGGAUAACAGCGCAAUCCACUUCAAGAGCUCCUAUCGACAAGUGGGUUUACGACCUCGAUGUUGGAUCAGGGUAUCCCAGUGGUGCAGCCGCUACUAAAGGUUCGUUUGU
This 555-nucleotide ribosomal RNA is filed under the name Cochranella resplendens (resplendent cochran frog). Its description in RNAcentral is "partial large subunit ribosomal RNA". It matches the Rfam family "Bacterial large subunit ribosomal RNA", at positions 1827 to 2580 of the family's 2925-position model. Lineage: Eukaryota; Metazoa; Chordata; Amphibia; Anura; Centrolenidae. The record is from RNAcentral.